Molecule: long non-coding RNA, 262 nt
Filed under: Homo sapiens (human)
Lineage: Eukaryota; Metazoa; Chordata; Mammalia; Primates; Hominidae
Description: non-protein coding lnc-MMP10-3:1
Source: RNAcentral
AGAGGCUGGGAAGCCAUCACUUACCUUGCACUGAGAAAGAAGACAAAGGCCAGUAUGCACAGCUUUCCUCCACUGCUGCUGCUGCUGUUCUGGGGUGUGGUGUCUCACAGCUUCCCAGCGACUCUAGAAACACAAGAGCAAGAUGUGGACUUAGUCCAAAAUACCUGGAAAAAUACUACAACCUGAAGAAUGAUGGGAGGCAAGUUGAAAAGCGGAGAAAUAGUGGCCCAGUGGUUGAAAAAUUGAAGCAAAUGCAGGAAUU